This 465-nucleotide ribosomal RNA is filed under the name uncultured bacterium. RNAcentral's name for it is "partial 16S ribosomal RNA". It matches the Rfam family "Bacterial small subunit ribosomal RNA", at positions 338 to 795 of the family's 1533-position model. The record is from RNAcentral.
CCUACGGGUGGCAGCAGUAGGGAAUCUUCCACAAUGGACGAAAGUCUGAUGGAGCAACGCCGCGUGAGGGAAGAAGGGUUUCGGCUCUUAAAGCUCUGUUGGUAGUGAAGAAAGAUAGAGGUAGUAACUGGCCUUUAUUUGACGGUACAUACUUAGAUAGUCUCGGCGAACUACGUGCCAGCAGCCGCGGUAAUACGUAGGUGGCAAGCGUUGUCCGGAUUUGUUGGGCGUAAAGCGAGUGCAGGCGGGCUAAUAAGUCUGAUGUGAAAGCCUUCGGCUCAACCGGAGGAUUGCAUCAGAAACUGUUGAACUUGAGUGCAGAAGAGGAGAGUGGAACUCCAUGUGUAGCGGUGGAAUGCGUAGAUAUAUGGAAGAACACCAGUGGCGAAGGCGGCUCUCUGGUCUGUAACUGACGCUGAGGCUCGAAAGCAUGGGGAGCGAACAGGAUUAGAUACCCCAGUAGUC